Molecule: transfer RNA, 72 nt
Filed under: Clostridiales bacterium
Lineage: Bacteria; Bacillati; Bacillota; Clostridia; Eubacteriales
Description: tRNA-Gly
Rfam family: tRNA
About the family: Transfer RNA (tRNA) molecules are approximately 80 nucleotides in length. Their secondary structure includes four short double-helical elements and three loops (D, anti-codon, and T loops). Further hydrogen bonds mediate the characteristic L-shaped molecular structure. tRNAs have two regions of fundamental functional importance: the anti-codon, which is responsible for specific mRNA codon recognition, and the 3' end, to which the tRNAs corresponding amino acid is attached (by aminoacyl-tRNA synthetases). tRNAs cope with the degeneracy of the genetic code in two manners: having more than one tRNA (with a specific anti-codon) for a particular amino acid; and 'wobble' base-pairing, i.e. permitting non-standard base-pairing at the 3rd anti-codon position.
Source: RNAcentral
GCGGGAAUAGUUUAGCGGUAGAGCGGCGGCUUCCCAAGCCGCAAGUCGCGGGUUCGAAUCCCGUUUCCCGCU